ACAGCAAGAUAGAACACGAUACAGUUAGUUCAGCGCACGAUAAGUUGUUGUCAGAUUGUUCUAUAUGACGCUGCUGAUGUACGCGCACGUAUACAGCCGUUGCCCAAAAAAGUUCAAAGUUUUCACCUUGUUUUGUCAAGAAACACCUUCAAGAAUCUCCGGCCUCAAGUCGUCACCAAACUUCCCUGUGCCGUAUAUUGAUGAUCAAGUGGGGCGACACGAAAGGGUGGCGGCGCGACAGUAGAAAGAUGACUUGUUAAAUCUGAUGAUCAUCGGACCGGACCGUACCUGCAUCAGAUCGAGGUAUCUGCAGAUCACAACUUCGUCCCUCAUUCGUACCGCAGGCUUGCAUUAUUUGUCUCCUAGUUUGCCUUGCAAUUGGUGAACGUACGUAGUCUUGAUUUCAAGAUGGUCCUUCCGUUUAUUAUAAUGGCAGUCAGCCUCGUUGCGGCGCCGGCAGCCCUCCCAGCGAUCGGUUUCACGGCUGGAGGAAUAGCGGCUGGUUCCAUGGCUACGAGCAUAAUGUCAG
Long non-coding RNA from Patiria miniata (bat star), 529 nucleotides. RefSeq lists it as uncharacterized. NCBI's taxonomy places the organism in Eukaryota, Metazoa, Echinodermata, Asteroidea, Valvatida, Asterinidae. The transcript has 3 exons. The record is from RefSeq and is a predicted model, not a curated record.